This 467-nucleotide ribosomal RNA is filed under the name uncultured bacterium. RNAcentral describes it as "partial 16S ribosomal RNA". It matches the Rfam family "Bacterial small subunit ribosomal RNA", at positions 28 to 506 of the family's 1533-position model. The record is from RNAcentral.
GACGAACGCUGGCGGCGUGCUUAACACAUGCAAGUCGAACGGAAAGGCCCUGCUUUUGUGGGGUGCUCGAGUGGCGAACGGGUGAGUAACAAGUGAGUAACCUGCCCUUGACUUUGGGAUAACUUCAGGAAACUGGGGCUAAUACCGGAUAGGAGCUCCUGCUGCAUGGUGGGGGUUGGAAAGUUUCGGCGGUUGGGGAUGGACUCGCGGCUUAUCAGCUUGUUGGUGGGGUAGUGGCUUACCAAGGCUUUGACGGGUAGCCGGCCUGAGAGGGUGACCGGCCACAUUGGGACUGAGAUACGGCCCAGACUCCUACGGGAGGCAGCAGUGGGGAAUAUUGCACAAUGGGCGGAAGCCGGAUGCAGCAACGCCGCGUGCGGGAGGACGGCCUUCGGGUUGUAAACCGCUUUCGCCUGUGACGAAGCGUGAGUGACGGUAAUGGGUAAAGAAGCACCGGCUAACUACGU